GCCAGCAGCCAUAUCACCCUGCAACUCACAACUGGGAACCCACUGAAGCUCAGCAGGUGUGAGCCUGGUCAGUACCUGGAUAGGAGACCUCCUGGGAAAACCUAAAGUUGCUACUGGAA
Molecule: ribosomal RNA, 119 nt
Filed under: Lepisosteus oculatus (spotted gar)
Lineage: Eukaryota; Metazoa; Chordata; Actinopteri; Semionotiformes; Lepisosteidae
Source: RNAcentral